This 253-nucleotide ribosomal RNA is filed under the name uncultured prokaryote. RNAcentral describes it as "partial 16S ribosomal RNA". It matches the Rfam family "Bacterial small subunit ribosomal RNA", at positions 525 to 777 of the family's 1533-position model. The record is from RNAcentral.
ACGAAGGGUGCAAGCGUUAAUCGGAAUUACUGGGCGUAAAGGGUGCGUAGGCGGUUCGUUAAGUCUGUCGUGAAAUCCCCGGGCUCAACCUGGGAACUGCAUUUGUGACUGCAUGGCUAGAGUACGGUAGAGGGGGAUGGAAUUCCGCGUGUAGCAGUGAAAUGCGUAGAUAUGCGGAGGAACACCGAUGGCGAAGGCAAUCCCCUGGACCUGUACUGACGCUCAUGCACGAAAGCGUGGGGAGCAAACGGGA